UACAUUUCCCAGAAUGCAACGAGGGGAGCGACCUGCUUACGGAGAGGUUGAGAGGGACGUCCUAGGCCUCCUGGGAUCUGUAGUUUCACCCUACCACCAGCCUAAUCCUGAGAGUGGCCGGCGGAGUUAAGGCGGACUGGAGGGUCAGGCUGACUUCCCCUCAGGAUUACAAAACAUCUGAAGCAGUUCUAGGCUAAACAUCCCAGCAAGACCAUAACCAGAGAAAAAUCACUUUGGAAGCUGUUGUAGAAGUUAGCAGGAGGCUUGGCCUGGAGGUAUGACCUGUGUAAACAAUGUCAUCAAGAAAAGGGGAAAUAUGCUAAGAAUUCUGCCUAAAA
Molecule: long non-coding RNA, 338 nt
Organism: Callorhinus ursinus (northern fur seal)
Lineage: Eukaryota; Metazoa; Chordata; Mammalia; Carnivora; Otariidae
Source: RefSeq, a predicted model, not a curated record